UCUAGUAGCUGGUUCCCUCCGAAGUUUCCCUCAGGAUAGCUGGUGCAUUAUAAUAUUAUGUUAAAUAAUCUUAUCUGGUAAAGCGAAUGAUUAGAGGCCUUAGGGUCGAAACGACCUUAACCUAUUCUCAAACUUUAAAUGGGUAAGAACCUCACCUUUCUUGAUAUGAAGGUUGAGGUUAUGAUAUAAUGUGCCCAGUGGGCCACUUUUGGUAAGCAGAACUGGCGCUGUGGGAUGAACCAAACGUAAUGUUACGGUGCCUAAAUUAACAACUCAUGCAGAUACCAUGAAAGGCGUUGGUUGCUUAAAACAGCAGGACGGUGGACAUGGAAGUCGUAAUCCGCUAAGGAGUGUGUAACAACUCACCUGCCGAAGCAACUAGCCCUUAAAAUGGAUGGCGCUUAAGUUGUAUACCUAUACAUUACCGCUAAAGUAGAUGAUUUAUAAUACAAUUUCGAUUGAAUUAUGAAUUUUGAAACUUUAGUGAGUAGGAGGGUACAAUGGUGUGCUUAGAAGUGUUUGGCGUAAGCCUGCAUGGAGCCGCUAUUGGUACAGAUCUUGGUGGUAGUAGCAAAUAAUCGAAUGAGACCUUGGAGGACUGAAGUGGAGAAGGGUUUCGUGUGAACAGUGGUUGAUCACGAGUUAGUCGGUCCUAAGUUCAAGGCGAAAGCCGAAAAUUUUCAAGUUUUAAUGC
RNAcentral lists this ribosomal RNA (694 nucleotides) under Capitites ramulosa. RNAcentral's name for it is "partial large subunit ribosomal RNA". It matches the Rfam family "Eukaryotic large subunit ribosomal RNA", at positions 943 to 1588 of the family's 3401-position model. Lineage: Eukaryota; Metazoa; Arthropoda; Insecta; Diptera; Tephritidae. The record is from RNAcentral.